UCUCCGUAGGUGAACCUGCGGAGGGAUCAUUACUGAGUGAGGGUCUCCGGGCCCGACCUCCAACCCUUUUGUGAACCACCUCGUUGCUUCGGGGGCGACCCUGCCGUUCGCGGCGUGGGGCCCCCGGUGGACCACUCAACCCUGCAUCGUUGCGUCCGAGUCGUAAUAUAAAUCAAUCAAAACUUUCAACAACGGAUCUCUUGGUUCCAGCAUCGAUGAAGAACGCAGC
Molecule: unclassified non-coding RNA, 229 nt
Filed under: uncultured fungus
Lineage: Eukaryota; Fungi
Description: sequence contains ITS1, 5.8S rRNA gene
Rfam family: 5.8S ribosomal RNA (bases 181-229)
Source: RNAcentral